Molecule: long non-coding RNA, 1251 nt
Filed under: Theobroma cacao (cacao)
Lineage: Eukaryota; Viridiplantae; Streptophyta; Magnoliopsida; Malvales; Malvaceae
Description: long non-coding RNA (TCAC_LNC006393)
Source: RNAcentral
CCUGUGAAAUUGUUGUCAAACAAUUCAAGAUCAGAAAGAGAUCUUAACAACCCAAUUUCUUGGGGAAUGGAACCAGAGAGUUUGUUGCUGUAAAAGUUAAGAACAGAUAAGUUUGUCAAAUUUCCUAUUGAAGCAGGGAUUGGACCUGUGAAAUUGCUGUCAGACAAUGUAAGGCUAGAAAGAGAUCUUAACAACCCAAUUUCUUGAGGAAUGGAACCAGAGAGUUUGUUGCUGUAAAAGUUAAGAACAGAUAAGUUUGUCAAAUUUCCUAUUGAAACUGGGAUUGGACCUGUGAAAUUGUUGUCAGACAAUGCAAGGUUAGAAAGAGAUCUUAACAAUCCAAUUUCUUGGGGAAUGAAACCAGAGAGUUUGUUGCUGUAAAGGUAAAGAAAAGAUAAGUUUGUCAAAUUUCCUAUUGAAGCAGGGAUUGGACCUGUGAAAUUGUUGUCAGACAAUGUAAGGCUAGAAAGAGAUCUUAACAACCCAAUUUCUUGGGGAAUGGAACCAGAGAGUUUGUUGCUGUAAAGGUAAAGAAAAGAUAAGUUUGUCAAAUUUCCUAUUGAAGCUGGGAUUGGACCUGUGAAAUUGUUGUCAGACAAUGCAAGGCUAGAAAGAGAUCUUAACAAUCCAAUUUCUUGGGAAAUGGAACCAGAGAGUUUGUUGCUGUAAAGGUAAAGAAUGGAUAAGUUUGUCAAAUUUCCUAUUGAAGCAGGGAUUGGACCUGUUAAAUUGUUGUCAGACAAUCCAAGAUCAGAAAGAGAUCUUAACAACCCAAUUUCUUGAGGAAUGAAAUUAGAGAGUUUGUUGUUAUUAAGGUAAAGAACGGAUAAGUGUAUCAUAUUUCCUAUUGAAGCCGGGAUUGGACCUGUGAAAUUAUUGUAAGACAAUUGAAGAUCAGAAAGUGAUCUUAACAAUCCAAUUUCUUGAGGAAUGGAACUAGAGAGUUUGUUGUUGUAAAGGUAAAGAAAGGAUAAGUUUGUCAAAUUUCCUAUUGAAGCAGGGAUUGGACCUGUGAAAUUGUUGUUAGACAAUGCAAGGCUAGAAAGAGAUCUUAAUAACCCAAUUUCUUGGGGAAUGGAACCAGAGAGUUUGUUGUUGUAAAGGUAAAGAACAGAUAAGUUUAUUAAAUUUCCUAUCGAAGGAAUACUUCCAUAGAGUGAGUUAAUGCUAAGAUCAACAUGAGUAAGGUUGGGAAAAAGGGAGAAGUUCAAACCUUCUAGCUUCCCUUUCAAAUCUGAAGAGGAAAGGUUU